GACGAACGCUGGCGGCAUGCUUAACACAUGCAAGUGGAGCGACGAACCUUUUAGGGGCAAAGCCGCGAACGGGUGAGUAACACGUGGGCGAUCUGCCCAGUUGACUGGAAUAACUCGAGGAAACUCGAGCUAAUACCGGAUGUGCUUGCUUCUCACAAGAGGAGUAAGUAAAGGGAGCUUCGGCUAUCCGCAAUUGGAGGAGCCUGCGGCGCAUUAGCUUGUUGGUGGGGUAACGGCCUACCAAGGCAUCGAUGCGUAGCUGGUCUGAGAGGACGAUCAGCCACACUGGAACUGAGACACGGUCCAGACUCCUACGGGAGGCAGCAGUGGGAAUCUUGCACAAUGGGCGACAGCCUGAUGCAGCAAUGCCGCGUGAGGGAAGAC
RNAcentral lists this ribosomal RNA (384 nucleotides) under uncultured bacterium. RNAcentral's name for it is "bacterial SSU rRNA". It matches the Rfam family "Bacterial small subunit ribosomal RNA", at positions 28 to 412 of the family's 1533-position model. The record is from RNAcentral.